Molecule: ribosomal RNA, 290 nt
Filed under: Latimbus concolor
Lineage: Eukaryota; Metazoa; Arthropoda; Insecta; Hemiptera; Coreidae
Description: partial small subunit ribosomal RNA
Rfam family: Eukaryotic small subunit ribosomal RNA
Source: RNAcentral
CUUUAACGAGGAUCUAUUGGAGGGCAAGUCUGGUGCCAGCAGCCGCGGUAAUUCCAGCUCCAAUAGCGUAUAUUAAAGUUGUUGCGGUUAAAAAGCUCGUAGUUGGUUCUGCGUGCCACGCUGUCGGUUCACCGCCUGCCGGUGCAACUGGCAUGCCGUGGCAUGUCCUGUCGGUGGCGGAUAGGCUUCGUGUGCGUGCCCUAUGCGCUUUUACGGCGUGUAGGCUGCUGCGCCGCGAUGUCCUUGUACGCCGGCUCAAUCCUACCGCGGUGCUCUUCACCGAGUGUCGA